CCUGGUGCGGUGGGGUCCCUCGGCCUGGCCUGCACCCUCUUGCAAUCCAGGACUGCUCAGGGGAUGUUGGACUGCCAGUUUAGGCCCCAUCCCUGCAGGCCAGGCUGAGGGACUCCACCUGUGCACG
Molecule: non-coding RNA, 127 nt
Organism: Myotis brandtii (Brandt's bat)
Lineage: Eukaryota; Metazoa; Chordata; Mammalia; Chiroptera; Vespertilionidae
Source: Rfam